RNAcentral lists this ribosomal RNA (395 nucleotides) under uncultured bacterium. RNAcentral's name for it is "bacterial SSU rRNA". It matches the Rfam family "Bacterial small subunit ribosomal RNA", at positions 32 to 416 of the family's 1533-position model. The record is from RNAcentral.
AAUCAACGCUGGCGGCGUGCCUAACACAUGCAAGUUGAGCGCUUAAGGGGGGCACCCCAAGAGAGCGAGCGAACGGGUGAGUAACGCGUGGGUGAUCUUCCUUCGAGUGGGAACAACAUCGGGAAACUGGUGCUAAUUCCGCAUAACAUCUCAGGACCAAGAGUUUUGAGAUCAAAGCCGGGGACCGUAAGGCCUGGCGCUUGAAGAUGAGCCCGCGUCCGAUUAGCUAGNGGCGGGUAAUAGGCCCACCAAGGCUUCGAUCGGUAGCCGGCCUGAGAGGGCGGACGGCCACACUGGAACUGAGACACGGUCCAGACUCCUACGGGAGGCAGCAGUGGGAAUUUUCGCAAUGGGCGCAAGCCUGACGAAGCAACGCCGCGUGGAGGAUGAAGGUC